Molecule: ribosomal RNA, 194 nt
Filed under: uncultured bacterium
Lineage: Bacteria
Description: partial 16S ribosomal RNA
Rfam family: Bacterial small subunit ribosomal RNA
Source: RNAcentral
CCUACGGGAGGCAGCAGUGGGGAAUUUUGGACAAUGGGCGCAAGCCUGAUCCAGCCAUGCCGCGUGCGGGAAGAAGGCCUUCGGGUUGUAAACCGCUCUUGUCAGGGAAGAAAAGCCUCGGGCUAAUACCUUGGGGUGAUGACGGUACCUGAAGAAUAAGCACCGGCUAACUACGUGCCAGCAGCCGCGGUAAU